AAAACGUAAUACGUCACAGAGACUUCGUGUCCUGAUGAUAUGGCGAGCUGCGCCGUCCACGUUUCUCUUUCUUCAAAAGGAUAUCGAACCAUGGGUUUGCGCUCGCGCGCUGUUCGCACCUUCGGUGCUGCGCUCCGCGAGGGCGCCGGACGACCGGCGACGGCCUCUGGCCUGUAUGGGCGGCUCUUUCUGAGGUUUUGCUCAGGUUAGGCGUCAACGCAGAGAGAUGGGCCCGUAGCUCAGUUGGUUAGAGCACACGCUUGAUAAGCGUGGGGUCGGAAGUUCAAGUCUUCCCGGGCCCACCAUUUGCACCGGCAAAUGAGGUUUGCUGUAGCGAAUUGUGGUUUGUUUGGGUUUACCUGAUCCUGGCGGUUUGCUGUCAGGUGUUUGCGAUGGUUGGGGCUGUAGCUCAGCUGGGAGAGCACCUGCUUUGCAAGCAGGGGGUCAGCGGUUCGAUCCCGCUCAGCUCCACCAAUUCGCUUGGUGUCGAGACUGAGAGAUAUCCUUUGAAGAAAUAAAAGUUUUGCACCGGCUUAUGGCUGGUGCGUGUUCUGCAUACAUUGUGAAGAGAAGAUUGAUCUGGAGGCUUCCAGGUGUUGUGGGUUUUGCCCAUGAUGUCCGAGCCCAGUUCCUGUGAAACCAUGGAUGGCCUAGCCGGCCGGAUGUGGUGGAGGGAUUGGAGGUAGGUAGGAAGCUUGUCGCUCUGGAUCGUCAGCGUAACCCGCGUAGCGGUUUAUCGCGUGUUGUUCGUUGCCUUUGGGCAUCGUCUGACGGACGAUCGGAUUACCGUUGCCUGACCGCCCGGUAUCGGAUCCAAUCUCGAGAAGCUGGUCUUAAGACAGGAUGCAAGCGAGCUGCUCGGCGUAGCUCCAAUAAAGCAGACCUGUCGAACACGUUAAUGGCAU
RNAcentral lists this transfer RNA (905 nucleotides) under Rhizobium sp. RNAcentral's name for it is "partial 16S-23S ribosomal RNA intergenic spacer". The stretch from base 229 to 302 matches the Rfam family "tRNA". Lineage: Bacteria; Pseudomonadati; Pseudomonadota; Alphaproteobacteria; Hyphomicrobiales; Rhizobiaceae. The record is from RNAcentral.